AGGUCCCGCACCAGCCACUGGGUGGUGAAGGCAUCCUGCGGUGGCAUCCCCCAGCGCAUCACAGCGUUGAGGAAGGCCUUGCGCUGCCGGGUGUUGAAUCCCAGCACCUGGGGGCCGCAAGGGAGGGCAUGGACUGUCAAUAUCCGUCAACAGAGAAGCACUCGUUCAUGGAAAAACCACGGACUUAAAGGACACCAGGGAGUGAACCGGGAAGAGCUACGGCAGGAAAUCAGGAAACAGGUGCCACCUUCUGGACGCUCGUCGAAGUCUUCAUCCUCCUCCUCCGAUCCCACUGAGUACUCGGACUGGUUAUCUGUGGGGAGAGGGCACUGCAUCAGGGCCAGCUCCCAGGGCAGCACAAUGCACACUCAUAGCUUCCCUCGCCGCUGCCCAGCGCUCACGGCCCACAACCGCAUGCCUACUUCCCCGCCGCCUGGCCUCUGCGACUCCCGCGAGAAUCUUCUGGACACCGCACGUCCUCUUCGUCUCUUACCUGCAGCGGGCUUCUCCUCCCUGCUCCCCGCGUCUCCCCUGAGCCUGUCCUCCGGCGCCACCCGCGUCUGUCCCGCCCUGACUCACAGACACCCUCUGUGUAUUGGUACUUUAUCCCCCGAGGUUCUCCCCAAAGUCUGGUCUCACCCCUCAAACCAAGGACCUGUUCUGCCUUUUGCCCGGCGUUACGGUAAGAGCUCAGACUCCCCGCAGACUCCCCAUUCAAGCCCACGGACGCUGCCCCGCAGAGGUGGCCCAGGGUACACCGCGCCCACCCUGGCGUCUCACCUUGUCU
Long non-coding RNA from Mustela erminea (ermine), 787 nucleotides. RefSeq lists it as uncharacterized. The transcript is spliced from 3 exons. NCBI's taxonomy places the organism in Eukaryota, Metazoa, Chordata, Mammalia, Carnivora, Mustelidae. The record is from RefSeq and is a predicted model, not a curated record.